RNAcentral lists this ribosomal RNA (914 nucleotides) under uncultured bacterium. Its description in RNAcentral is "bacterial SSU rRNA". It matches the Rfam family "Bacterial small subunit ribosomal RNA", at positions 10 to 916 of the family's 1533-position model. The record is from RNAcentral.
AGUUUGAUCCUGGCUCAGGAUGAACGCUAGCUACAGGCUUAACACAUGCAAGUCGAGGGGCAGCGAGAGGUUAGCUUGCUAACCUUGUCGGCGACCGGCGCACGGGUGAGUAACGCGUAUCCAACCUUCCCCUUAGUAGGGCAUAGCCCGGCGAAAGUCGGAUUAAUACCCUAUGUUGUCCUUUGCAGGCAUCUAACGAGGACUAAAGAUUCAUCGCUAAGGGAUGGGGAUGCGUCUGAUUAGCUUGAUGGCGGGGUAACGGCCCACCAUGGCGACGAUCAGUAGGGGUUCUGAGAGGAAGGUCCCCCACAUUGGUACUGAGACACGGACCAAACUCCUACGGGAGGCAGCAGUGAGGAAUAUUGGUCAAUGGGCGCGAGCCUGAACCAGCCAAGUAGCGUGCAGGACGACUGCCCUAUGGGUUGUAAACUGCUUUUAUGCGGGAAUAAAGUGCACUACGCGUAGUGUUUUGUAUGUACCGCAUGAAUAAGGACCGGCUAAUUCCGUGCCAGCAGCCGCGGUAAUACGGAAGGUCCGGGCGUUAUCCGGAUUUAUUGGGUUUAAAGGGAGCGCAGGCCGGGGAUUAAGCGUGACGUGAAAUGUAGGUGCUCAACGUCUGCACUGCGUCGCGAACUGGUUCCCUUGAGUGAGUACGACGUCGGCGGAAUUCGUGGUGUAGCGGUGAAAUGCUUAGAUAUCACGAAGAACUCCGAUUGCGAAGGCAGCCGACGAGUCCUUAACUGACGCUAAUGCUCGAAAGUGCGGGUAUCGAACAGGAUUAGAUACCCUGGUAGUCCGCACGGUAAACGAUGGAUGCCCGCUGUUGGCGAUACACUGUCAGCGGCCAAGCGAAAGCGUUAAGCAUCCCACCUGGGGAGUACGCCGGCAACGGUGAAACUCAAAGGAAUUGACGG